GAUGAAGAACGCAGCGAACUGCGAUAAGUAAUGUGAAUUGCAGAAUUCAGUGAAUCAUCGAGUCUUUGAACGCACAUUGCGCCCCCUGGCAUUCCGGGGGGCAUGCCUGUCCGAGCGUCAUUGCUGCCCUUCAAGCCCGGCUUGUGUGUUGGGUCGUCGUCCCCCCCGGGGGACGGGCCCGAAAGGCAGCGGCGGCACCGCGUCCGGUCCUCGAGCGUAUGGGGCUUUGUCACCCGCUCGAUUAGGGCCGGCCGGGCGCCAGCCGGCGUCUCCAACCUUCUAUUUUACCAGGUUGACCUCGGAUCAGGUAGGGAUACCCGCUGAACUUAAGCAUAUCAUAAGCGGAGGA
RNAcentral lists this unclassified non-coding RNA (349 nucleotides) under soil metagenome. RNAcentral's name for it is "partial contains 5.8S ribosomal RNA, internal transcribed spacer 2, and large subunit ribosomal RNA". The stretch from base 1 to 120 matches the Rfam family "5.8S ribosomal RNA", at positions 35 to 154 of the family's 154-position model. The record is from RNAcentral.